This 253-nucleotide ribosomal RNA is filed under the name uncultured bacterium. RNAcentral describes it as "partial 16S ribosomal RNA". It matches the Rfam family "Bacterial small subunit ribosomal RNA", at positions 524 to 776 of the family's 1533-position model. The record is from RNAcentral.
UACGAAGGGGGCUAGCGUUGUUCGGAUUUACUGGGCAUAAAGCGCACGUAGGCGGAUCGUUAAGUCGGGGGUGAAAUCCUGGAGCUCAACUCCAGAACUGCCUUCGAUACUGGCGAUCUCGAGUCCGGAAGAGGUGAGUGGAACUCCUAGUGUAGAGGUGGAAUUCGUAGAUAUUAGGAAGAACACCAGUGGCGAAGGCGGCUCACUGGUCCGGUACUGACGCUGAGGUGCGAAAGCGUGGGGAGCAAACAGG